Molecule: ribosomal RNA, 305 nt
Filed under: uncultured bacterium
Lineage: Bacteria
Description: bacterial SSU rRNA
Rfam family: Bacterial small subunit ribosomal RNA
Source: RNAcentral
CCUACGGGGGGCAGCAGUGAGGAAUAUUGGUCAAUGGGCUAAGGCCUGAACCAGCCAAGUCGCGUGAGGGAAGACGGUCCUAUGGAUUGUAAACCUCUUUUGUCGGGGAGCAACGAGGCCACGUGUGGCCGAAGUGAGAGUACCCGAAGAAAAAGCAUCGGCUAACUCCGUGCCAGCAGCCGCGGUAAUACGGAGGAUGCGAGCGUUAUCCGGAUUUAUUGGGUUUAAAGGGUGCGUAGGCGGUUUGUCAAGUCAGCGGUAAAAAUUCCGGGCUCAACCCGGUCCCGCCGUUGAAACUGGCGAAC